RNAcentral lists this long non-coding RNA (1109 nucleotides) under Cottoperca gobio. Its description in RNAcentral is "lncRNA (ENSCGOG00000010762.1)". The record is from RNAcentral. Lineage: Eukaryota; Metazoa; Chordata; Actinopteri; Perciformes; Bovichtidae.
AGUCCUUGACGUCCAGCAGUAUAAACACCAGGAAUUACCCCCGCUCCAGGUCCAUAGCUGCCUGUUCCUGUGCCAGCACCACCAGGUCCAAAACCACCUGGCCUAGUUCCGACACCACCCAGUCCUGUCCCGGCAGUGUUGGGCCCAUAUCCACCUGGUGCAGUGCCACCAGGUCCAUAUCCACCAGUACCAGGACCAACUCCUCCAAGUCCAGUCCCGUACCCACCAGGAACAACCCCAGCACCACCAGCUCCUGCCCCAUAACCUAAAAACAAAUAAUGGUUUAAAGGCUCCUGUUCCUACUCCACCAGCCCCAGGUACCAAGCCUGCUCCUCCUCCAGGUCCUCCUCCAACUCCUCCAGUACCUCCUCCAACUCCUCCAGGACCUCCUCCAACUCCUCCUGCCACCCCGCCUACUCCACCAGGUCAAAAAAAUAAACUUUUUUCACAAUUAACACUAUGUUAGUCAUUCCUAGAGGCUAUAGUGGACGUUUCAUACUCAUCGGUGAAAGAUGUAAUAGUCAUAAUGGAGUGGCAAAAAUGGCACCUUUUGGCGGUUUUGGUGUUCCUCCAACUCCACCAGCUGCACCUCCUGGUCCAACUCCAGUUCCAGUAGCAGGACCGUCUCCUCCUCCCACUCCUGUUACGCCACCUGAAACACCUCCUGCUGCUCCUGCACUGGUAGGAAUCCCUCCUACUCCACCCGGUUCUCCACCUGUGCCUCCUGUACCACCUCUUUCUCCAUCAGGACCUCCCUCUCCAUCUCCUUCACCUGGCGUGUCACCUCUGGGGACACCUGCAGACAGAGCACAGAACACCAGACCUGUAUUUCAGCUAGAAUCAAAACCACCAUUACAGAAAAGAAGUCUGACAGGUUCUCCAGCAAGUUUAAACACACCUUCUCCUCCAGAACUUCCAGACCCCUCUAUCACACUGCCAGCACCGCUAUCACCUGGAAUAAGAAGCCUACCACUGGGUCCAGAUGUUGUCCCUGCACCACUGCUUGUGCUGGUGCCAUUCACUGAAACACCAGUGCCGGUCCCUGUACCAGAUCCUGCAGUGCCGGUCCCUGUACCAGAUCCUGCAGUGCCAGAUCCUGCAGUGCCAGU